UCCCGCUUGUCACGGGCAGUUUCUCUAGAGUUCCCGGCAUUACCCGAUGGCAACUAGAAAUGAGGGUUGCGCUCGUUGCGGGACUUAACCCAACAUCUCACGACACGAGCUGACGACAGCCAUGCAACACCUGUGUUUCGCCCGGCCGAACCGAAGAGCUUCCAUUACAAAGCUCAUAGCGAACAUGUCAAGGGUUGGUAAGGUUUUUCGCGUAGCAUCGAAUUAAACCACAUGCUCCACCGCUUGUGCGGGUCCCCGUCAAUUCCUUUGAGUUUUAAUCUUGCGACCGUACUCCCCAGGCGGGGUGCUUAACGUGUUAACUGUGUCACUGGAAAAAUCCAACAACUAGCACCCAUCGUUUACGGCGUGGACUAC
Molecule: unclassified non-coding RNA, 375 nt
Filed under: uncultured Rickettsiales bacterium
Lineage: Bacteria; Pseudomonadati; Pseudomonadota; Alphaproteobacteria; Rickettsiales
Description: contains 16S-23S intergenic spacer region
Source: RNAcentral